GUAGGUGAACCUGCGGAAGGAUCAUUACACUCAGUAGAUUUCUACUGCUCAGGGAGAGCGGAAAGUUGGUUGGUGCGCUUCGGCGGGCUUGGCAACGAGUACGCUCUAUCUGAACCCUUGUCUUUUUGCGUACUCAUGUUUCCUCGGCGGGCUUGCCCGCCGGCUGGACAAAACUAUAACCUUUUAAAUUUUCAAUCAGCGUCUGAAUAAUUUUAAUAAUUACAACUUUCAACGACGGAUCUCUUGGUUCUG
Molecule: unclassified non-coding RNA, 252 nt
Filed under: rhizosphere metagenome
Description: partial ribosomal RNA internal transcribed spacer region
Source: RNAcentral